CGGGGUGUAGUAUACCGGUAGUACGUGUCCUUUGGGAGGAUAAAGACUGGGUUCAAUUCCCAGCACCCCGA
RNAcentral lists this transfer RNA (71 nucleotides) under Patescibacteria group bacterium. RNAcentral describes it as "tRNA-Pro". It matches the Rfam family "tRNA". From Rfam's summary of the family: Transfer RNA (tRNA) molecules are approximately 80 nucleotides in length. Their secondary structure includes four short double-helical elements and three loops (D, anti-codon, and T loops). Further hydrogen bonds mediate the characteristic L-shaped molecular structure. tRNAs have two regions of fundamental functional importance: the anti-codon, which is responsible for specific mRNA codon recognition, and the 3' end, to which the tRNAs corresponding amino acid is attached (by aminoacyl-tRNA synthetases). tRNAs cope with the degeneracy of the genetic code in two manners: having more than one tRNA (with a specific anti-codon) for a particular amino acid; and 'wobble' base-pairing, i.e. permitting non-standard base-pairing at the 3rd anti-codon position. The record is from RNAcentral.